AAGUCCAUCACUAAACUAUGCCCCGAAGGGCGACAUCUACACGUCUGGUAAAUACCUCCAGGCAUAGUGAUACGUGACAGCUACAGAUGAUAUCCUGUGAUGACUGAAAGGGCAAACACUGUGGGACUGAAGUGUGAGGGAGCAGUUCAUUUAUGAAAUGUGAAGAUUCCAGAAAGCUCAAUGUAGCUGCAAGAUCUUUAGAAAGCUGGUUCAGUAUUUAAAAUUACCCUCCUAAGACUGAGAAACAAGUUGAAAGAGAAACAAACUCCAGUUUGGGCAUCUGAUACAAGAUUAUAUUUACGCCUUCUAGUUCAAAAAAACCCAUGGCAUAUCUGGAGUAUAGGUACCAUAAAAGUGGGUCUAGAAAGCUUGAUCUGUGAAGGAAGAUCGUAGUUAAGCUCAGGUGGCCUGAAGAGUGGCAAAUGACAAGAGAGGAAUAACCUUCAGCUACAUACAUAUUACCCUAAGACAGGCACAAGAGCUGUCACCAGUGGAAGGGGAGGAACAGAGAAUAAGUUGACAGUGACAUUUAGUAUUUGAUAUUUUAAAAGAAACACAGAACUUUAAAACUAUUCUCUUCUAAAUGUUGAACUAGUUCCUCCAGAUCCCUGCCACUGAAAGGCAGCAGUCUCAGAGUCGAUACAGGCCGAACAACACCUUUCAGGAACAGCUUCAGCACAGAACUGUAGGCUGGGGCUGGAGCAGGAAAACCUGGUUCCUGCACAUAAUGCAAUAGCAAUGCUGCAUGUAACAACAAGGUGUUAUUAAAUGGCUUGCAGGGGGACAAAAAAAGUAUACACAGAGAAAGUGAUGAGUUAUGCUCUUAAAAGUAGGUGUUAAAUCAACUCAAUACAAGUUUAGUGCCCAUUGCACCAUCUUUGAACAUAACAUGACAGAGCUGCCUGCCAAGGAAGCCAGCAUGUUGAACUGCCAUUCCCAUCAAACAUUUUCUGGCUCUAUAAGGAACAGGACAUGAGUUGAAAAUGUGAGUCAGUAAUUUUCAGACAAGAAACCCCACAAACCCCAAACCUAGCACAUCCCAGAAUGGUUACUUCAAAUAACUACAUUGUAUUUGAAUGAUCAAGCGGUGAUGUUCUGCAAUUACAUGCCAUGCAAGAAAUAAAUUGUCACUACG
This 1135-nucleotide long non-coding RNA is filed under the name Strigops habroptila (Kakapo). Its description in RNAcentral is "lncRNA (ENSSHBG00005008259.1)". The record is from RNAcentral. Lineage: Eukaryota; Metazoa; Chordata; Aves; Psittaciformes; Psittacidae.